UAGUCCACGCCGUAAACGAUGAAUACUAGAUGUAGCGGGUAUCGACCCCUGCUGUGUCGUAGCUAACGCGUUAAGUGAUCCGCCUGGGGAGUACGGUCGCAAGACUAAAACUUAAAGGAAUUGACGGGGGUCCGCACAAGCGGUGGAACAUGUGGUUUAAUUCGACACUACGCGAGGAACCUUACCUAGGUUUGACAUGCAUUUGAUCGCCGUAGAAAUACGGUUUUCUGGACGUUGUUCGGACAGAUGCACAGGUGCUGCAUGGCUGUCGUCAGCUCGUGUCGUGAGAUGUUAGGUUAAGUCCUCUAACGAGCGCAACUCCUACCAUCAGUUGCUACUUGCGUGAGCAAGGCACUCUGGUGGAAACUGCCUGGGAAACCAGGAGGAAGGUGGGAAUGACGUCAAGUCAGCAUGGUCCUUAUGCCUAGGGCUACACACGUGUUACAAUGGCCAGUAUAGCGAGCUGCAAGCCCGCGAGGGUAAGCGAAUCUCU
RNAcentral lists this ribosomal RNA (493 nucleotides) under uncultured bacterium. Its description in RNAcentral is "bacterial SSU rRNA". It matches the Rfam family "Bacterial small subunit ribosomal RNA", at positions 791 to 1276 of the family's 1533-position model. The record is from RNAcentral.